RNAcentral lists this small nuclear RNA (47 nucleotides) under Cervus elaphus hippelaphus. Lineage: Eukaryota; Metazoa; Chordata; Mammalia; Artiodactyla; Cervidae. The record is from RNAcentral.
GUGCUCACUUCGGCAGCACAUAUACUAAAAUGAUGGGAGAUACUGAG